RNAcentral lists this ribosomal RNA (1326 nucleotides) under Sciara ruficauda. Its description in RNAcentral is "16S ribosomal RNA". The record is from RNAcentral. Lineage: Eukaryota; Metazoa; Arthropoda; Insecta; Diptera; Sciaridae.
UGAAUAAAAUUAAUUUAUUGAUUUAAUUUAUUUAAAAUUUAAUUUUGUUAAAAAUAAUUAUAAAAAUAAUUAGUUUAAGUAUUUUUUAAAUAAAAAAUAAUUUUUAUGAUAGUUCAUUUUGUAUAGUAUUAGAAAAUUGAAAUAAUUGAAAUUUAAUUAUAGAAAAAGAAAAUUUUACUUAUUGUACCUUGUGUAUCAGGGUUUAUUAAAUAAAAAAUAAAUAUUUAUUUUUCUCGAUUUUAAAAGAUUUAUUAAUUUAUAAAAUUUAAUGUUAUAUAAUUAUUAUAAAUAAAUUAUUGGUAAUGAAAUGUUAUUCGUUUUUAAAUAUAUCUAGUUUUUUAAGAAAUAAAUUUAAUUUAUAUAUUUGAAAGUUUAAAUAAAAUUUUUAAUAAUUUUAUUUAUUUUAAAUAUAAAUAUUUUUAGGGAUAAGCUUAAAAAUAAAAUUAAAAAUUAUAAAUAAAUUUUAAUAAAUAUAAGCUUAGAAUUAGUUAUUGUAAAAAAAUAUGUAAUAAUUUAUUUUAUUUAUAUAAUUAUUUAUUAUAUUUUAAAUUAUUAUUAAAAUAUUAAUUUAAAUUACAUUAAUUAAUAAAUUAUGAUAAAAUUAGUAUAAUAAAUUAUAAAAAUUAUUUAAUUGUUAAAAUUUUUAUUAAAGAAUUCGGCAAUUAUAGUGUUCACUUGUUUAUCAAAAACAUGUCUUUUAGAGGUUUAUAAAAAGUCUAACCUGCCCAUUGAAAUAAAUUAAAAGGCUGCGGUAUUUUGACCGUACAAAGGUAGCAUAAUCAUUAGUUUUUUAAUUGAAAACUUGUAUGAAUGGUUGAAUGAGAUACUAACUGUUUUAAUUAAAAUAUAGAAUUUUACUUUUUAAUCAAAAGGUUAAAAUGAGAUUAAAAGACGAGAAGACCCUAUAGAUUUUUAUAUUUAAUUUAAUAUUAAAAUUUUAGUUUAUUAAUUUUAUUAUUUUUUUAAUUAUUUUGUUGGGGUGACAAUAAAAUUCAAUAAACUUUUAUUUUUUUUUUUACAUUAAUAUAUGAAUUUUUGAUCCAUGAAUCAUGAUUACAAGAUUAAAUUACCUUAGGGAUAACAGCGUAAUUUUUUUUUAAGUUCUUAUUAGUAAAAAAGUUUGCGACCUCGAUGUUGGAUUAAGAUUAAUUUUAGGUGCAGCAGUUUAAAAUUUAAGUCUGUUCGACUUUUAAAUUCUUACAUGAUCUGAGUUCAAACCGGUGUGAGCCAGGUUGGUUUCUAUCUUUAAUAAAUAAAUAUAUUUUAGUACGAAAGGACCAAAUAUAUUAUAAAAUUAUUUAUAUUUUAAAGAAUAAUAUUAAAAUA